This 1000-nucleotide ribosomal RNA is filed under the name uncultured organism. RNAcentral describes it as "bacterial SSU rRNA". It matches the Rfam family "Bacterial small subunit ribosomal RNA", at positions 355 to 1375 of the family's 1533-position model. The record is from RNAcentral.
UGGGGGAUAUUGCGCAAUGGGGGCAACCCUGACGCAGCAACGCCGCGUGAAGGAUGAAGGUUUUCGGAUUGUAAACUUCUUUUAUUAAGGACGAAAAAUGACGGUACUUAAUGAAUAAGCUCCGGCUAACUACGUGCCAGCAGCCGCGGUAAUACGUAGGGAGCAAGCGUUGUCCGGAUUUACUGGGUGUAAAGGGUGCGUAGGCGGCUUUGCAAGUCAGAUGUGAAAUCUAUGGGCUCAACCCAUAAACUGCAUUUGAAACUGUAGAGCUUGAGUGAAGUAGAGGCAGGCGGAAUUCCCCGUGUAGCGGUGAAAUGCGUAGAGAUGGGGAGGAACACCAGUGGCGAAGGCGGCCUGCUGGGCUUUAACUGACGCUGAGGCACGAAAGCGUGGGUAGCAAACAGGAUUAGAUACCCUGGUAGUCCACGCUGUAAACGAUGAUUACUAGGUGUGGGGGGUCUGACCCCUUCCGUGCCGGAGUUAACACAAUAAGUAAUCCACCUGGGGAGUACGGCCGCAAGGUUGAAACUCAAAGGAAUUGACGGGGGCCCGCACAAGCAGUGGAGUAUGUGGUUUAAUUCGAAGCAACGCGAAGAACCUUACCAGGUCUUGACAUCCAACUAACGAAGUAGAGAUACAUUAGGUGCCCUUCGGGGAAAGUUGAGACAGGUGGUGCAUGGUUGUCGUCAGCUCGUGUCGUGAGAUGUUGGGUUAAGUCCCGCAACGAGCGCAACCCUUGCUAUUAGUUGCUACGCAAGAGCACUCUAAUAGGACUGCCGUUGACAAAACGGAGGAAGGUGGGGACGACGUCAAAUCAUCAUGCCCCUUAUGACCUGGGCUACACACGUACUACAAUGGGUGUUAACAGAGGGAAGCAAGACAGCGAUGUGGAGCAAACCCCUAAAAACAUUCUCAGUUCAGAUUGCAGGCUGCAACCCGCCUGCAUGAAGAUGGAAUUGCUAGUAAUCGCGGAUCAGCAUGCCGCGGUGAAUACGUUCCC